This 137-nucleotide ribosomal RNA is filed under the name uncultured eukaryote. RNAcentral's name for it is "partial 18S ribosomal RNA". It matches the Rfam family "Eukaryotic small subunit ribosomal RNA", at positions 1299 to 1458 of the family's 1831-position model. The record is from RNAcentral.
UGGUGAAGUGAUUUGUCUGCUUAAUUGCGAUAACGAACGAGACCUUAACCUGCUAAAUAGCCAGGCUAGCUUUGGCUGGUCGCCGGCUUCUUAGAGGGACUAUCGGCUCAAGCCGAUGGAAGUUUGAGGCAAUAACA